GAUGAACGCUGGCGGCGUGCCUAAUACAUGCAAGUCGAGCGAACAGACGAGGAGCUUGCUCCUCUGACGUUAGCGGCGGACGGGUGAGUAACACGUGGAUAACCUACCUAUAAGACUGGGAUAACUUCGGGAAACCGGAGCUAAUACCGGAUAAUAUAUUUAACCGCAUGGUUCAAUAGUGAAAGACGGUUUUGCUGUCACUUAUAGAUGGAUCCGCGCCGCAUUAGCUAGUUGGUAAGGUAACGGCUUACCAAGGCAACGAUGCGUAGCCGGCCUGAGAGGGUGAUCGGCCACACUGGAACUGAGACACGGUCCAGACUCCUACGGGAGGCAGCAGUAGGGAAUCUUCCGCAAUGGGCGAAAGCUUGACGGAGCAACGCCGCGUGAGUGAUGAAGGUCUUCGGAUCGUAAAACUCUGUUAUUAGGGAAGAACAAAUGUGUAAGUAACUAUGCACGUCUUGACGGUACCUAAUCAGAAAGCCACGGCUAACUACGUG
RNAcentral lists this ribosomal RNA (497 nucleotides) under uncultured bacterium. RNAcentral's name for it is "partial 16S ribosomal RNA". It matches the Rfam family "Bacterial small subunit ribosomal RNA", at positions 28 to 507 of the family's 1533-position model. The record is from RNAcentral.